GACGAACGCUGGCGGCGUGCUUAACACACGCAAGUCGAACGAUGAUGCUGGAGCUUGCUCCAGUUGAUUAGUGGCGAACGGGUGAGUAACACGUGAGCAAUCUGCCCUUGACUCUGGGAUAACUGCGGGAAACUGUAGCUAAUACCGGAUACUUUCACCGGAAGGCAUCUUCUGGUGAUGAAAGAAUUUCGGUCAGGGAUGAGCUCGCGGCCUAUCAGCUUGUUGGUGAGGUAACGGCUCACCAAGGCGACGGCGGGUAACCGGCCUGAGAGGGUGACCGGUCACACUGGGACUGAGACACGGCCCAGACUCCUACGGGAGGCAGCAGUGGGGAAUAUUGCACAAUGGGCGCAAGCCUGAUGCAGCAACGCCGCGUGAGGGAUGAAGGCCUUCGGGUUGUAAACCUCUUUUAGCAGGGAAGAAGCGAAAGUGACGGUACCUGCAGAAAAAGCACCGGCUAACUACGUGCCAGCCGCCGCGGUAA
This 484-nucleotide ribosomal RNA is filed under the name uncultured bacterium. RNAcentral's name for it is "partial 16S ribosomal RNA". It matches the Rfam family "Bacterial small subunit ribosomal RNA", at positions 28 to 523 of the family's 1533-position model. The record is from RNAcentral.